GGUAAGUGAACUUGGUCUUGGCUGAAUUUCUUGUUGAUCUUCUGGGGGGAGGGGCCUGGUGUAGUGAUUCUCAAGUGUCUUUGCUCCAGGUGGAAUUGCACCGCCCUUACCAGGGGCCGGGCUAAGUAAACUGCUCGGGUUCACUUUCGGGAGCUUUUGUUCCCUGAGCGCUUUCUGUAGAGUUCCGGAAGAUGGGAAUGAAAAUGGUGAUUGGCCUCCCAAUUGCCAGCCCAGAGGAGCCGAGAGUUUGGGGCCCCACUCAUCAGGGCACCCUCAGAGAAAAGCGUUGAAUCACUGCCGUCUCCCUGGCCUCCAGUCUCGCUCCGGGCUCACCCAGCCUGUGACUGGUUCAAGUGGACCGUGGUGCUGA
This 370-nucleotide long non-coding RNA is filed under the name Mustela putorius furo (domestic ferret). RNAcentral describes it as "lncRNA (ENSMPUG00000024047.1)". The record is from RNAcentral. Lineage: Eukaryota; Metazoa; Chordata; Mammalia; Carnivora; Mustelidae.